This 623-nucleotide ribosomal RNA is filed under the name uncultured bacterium. RNAcentral describes it as "bacterial SSU rRNA". It matches the Rfam family "Bacterial small subunit ribosomal RNA", at positions 163 to 774 of the family's 1533-position model. The record is from RNAcentral.
UUAAUACCGAAUGCUCCGUCUGGCUCUCGAGCCGGCCGGAAAAGGUAGCUUCGGCCUCCGGUCAGGGACGAGCCCGCGGCGGAUUAGCUUGUUGGUGGGGUAAAGGCCCACCAAGGCGACGAUCCGUAGCUGGUCUGAGAGGACGAUCAGCCACACUGGGACUGAGACACGGCCCAGACUCCUACGGGAGGCAGCAGUGGGGAAUCUUGCGCAAUGGGCGAAAGCCUGACGCAGCGACGCCGCGUGAGGGAAGAAGGCCUUCGGGUUGUAAACCUCUUUCAGGAGGGACGAAGCCACUCAGGUUAAUAGCCGAGAGGGUGACGGUACCUCCAGAAGAAGCCCCGGCUAACUACGUGCCAGCAGCCGCGGUAAUACGUAGGGGGCAAGCGUUGUCCGGAUUUAUUGGGCGUAAAGAGCGUGUAGGCGGCCAUACAGGUCAGCUGUGAAAACUCGAGGCUCAACCUCGAGACGUCGGUUGAAACCGUAUGGCUAGAGUCCGGAAGAGGAGAGUGGAAUUCCCGGUGUAGCGGUGAAAUGCGCAGAUAUCGGGAAGAACACCCGUGGCGAAGGCGGCUCUCUGGGACGGUACUGACGCUGAGACGCGAAAGCGUGGGGAGCGAACA